GUUUAAUUGGGAGCACUUUUGUUCUUUUGUAGUAAUUCACAAAUAAUGGUACAUCUUAGAACGGAUGGCAUCUAAGAUAGGAAGAAACAUGGGAACUCCGUGGGGAAGUGAGGGAGAAGUAUGAAUACCUGUGUCCAGGAGGGAGGAGGAAAAAGCUAAACCCUCAUCUUCCACAGUAACGGGUCAGCAGAUUAUUUGAAAAAUUAACAAAGUAAGGAUACAGCUUUAUAAACAUAUUAUUUAGAAUGAUUGCUGUAAAUACCAGGAGUACAGCUAAAAUCACAGACCGCGAUUGGCUUGUGGGAGCAGUAAGCAUGGGUAUGGGAGAAGUUUACUGGGUUGUGAUUUUUUCAUAAGCCUCGUAAACAUGUGAAUUUUUAAACUACAUAUAUGUAUUAGAAGUAAAAGCAGUAUAUAUAGAAAUGAAAUAAAUAAAACGAAGUGCUCCAUUUCAAGCCUCCCCAGAACAGAAGUUGUCGACUGUGAAAAUAGAAAGGAGUCUUUAUGGUCUCCUCUUUCAGGGCAAAGCGGCCAACAUUGACCUCCAUCCUGGGCUGGGGAUGAAGCGUGGCUACCGGGCGACAUGCAUAUUGCUUCACAUGCCACCUCUUGCCUCCCAUCUUAGGAAACUCAGCUGCUUGAUUUUUCACUCUCAGGAGAUGAGACAGCCGGUCUUGGGGGAAAGUGGAAACCGCAGCACACACGACGCAUUUUUCAAAUGCUUGUGUUACCCAGAGCCCUCGAGAACGAGAAAGGAAGCUGGCGGCUUGGCAGGUGUGGAGGCCCCUUCCCGCAGACAUCUGUCAGCGGCUGUGGAAGCCCAGCCCCCUCCUCUUUGCAGAGGAAGAGCCCUGGAUUCCUGGCAAGAGCAGGCAUCCGUUCCACCGGUAUGUUCCAGCUGCUCGUCAUCCUGGAAGGAGGGUGGAAAAGCAAGAGAAAGAUUCCUCCUGGUAGAGCCAGAGCCGCUUGCUCCUCAGAUGUCAGACCUACGCAGGAGUUUCUGCAGGCAGAGGCACCCCGCUGCACCCGGGGCAUGCGGGCACUGCCUGCCUCUGCGUGGGGGAGGGCACCAUCUGCGAUUCGGCCAGGGUCUGGGUGAGCCCGCUGACGGAAGUCGUGAUUUGGAAUAAGCACUUAGGGGUCGCGCGGUGGUCAGAGAGGCGAUCAGGCCCACCAGUUCUUAUCCCCUCCCGAUCAGGACCGAGGCUCAGCUGCUGUGACAUGCUACAGCCCACCACGUGUUCACGUGGAAACACUUCUACACGAUGUUGACCAUCUUAGUUGCCCUUUUUCACACCUUCCCAAGCAAAGGCCUCUGAAAGUGUGCCGCCCAGAACUGGACCUGAUCCGACCAGGGAAGGGUGGGGAAACUGAGUCAAGGAAAGAUUAGUCAAUGUGUCCAGAGUCACAUAACCAGUCAAUGAAGAGAAAAGAUUCAGUCCUGGAGACCUUCUAUCUCCAAGUCCUACACUCCUCCCGCUGUGUCAUGCCGCCUCUCUGUGUAGAGCUUGGCUUCUGACGCUACGAGCACUGCCAAAAUUCUCAAACAGUUUGCUAUGUCAUAGUCAGCAAAGGCUGAGGGUGACACUGCAGCGUGGCCUUAAAGGAAGAGGCUGGAACUUAUGACUAAGGAAGUGUUGCCUGAACUCUCACCACACCCGAACUUUAUCCCCAACCCGCACCUCCAGGCUCAUACUCAGGAGAGUGGAGCAAGCCUUAGGAGCUGCCUAGAAGACACCUUGACCUGAAGUAGUGGGAGCCACCAGGGGACUCAACUAUUUGCAUCCAUUGCCUAAAGGGUCCUUUGGAAACGACUGUAGGAUCUGCAAGCCCCAGGGAGGGAGGGUUACUCCAACCCCCUUCACAAGCCCUCUGUGGGAGGAUACCAGGUCUCCUUCUAGGAAUGGACUCAGGCUCAGAGACUGUCAAGACUGAGGUGGCACACUGGCUUCCCGUCUCUGGGGAUGAGGAGGUGGAGGGAAGGAGAUGGGGAGAGACCACUUGGGGCAAGACACAGUGACCUAGAUCCCAGGUGAACCAAGUGGGAGUGGGACUGACUCCUGGACAGGAACAGCCUCAGGCAGACUUGUUACUGCAAAAUUCGGCUCCCCCUGUACAGCUAGCAUGUUCCCUCACUGCCGGGAAAGACAGAGAGAAGACCCCAGCCAGGAGUCAGGCAGAUUUUACCAGCAGGGCAGACCCUCAGCCAAGACACAGCAGCAUGUUGUAGGGAGUGACUGAGGCCAGCAGACAGGGGAAGGGAGAGGGAGAAUGGAACUGUUAUUCGCUGAGGGCCUACUCUGUGCCACAUCCUCAGGGUCAGGCCUGGACCAGGAACCAAGAGGAAAAAUACAGUUCACAGCAGAUGCUGCUCUUGCCUCACUCAAAACCACUCCACCCUCCUUCUAGCAAGAUUUCCUUUGCACUAAAGGCUGGAAUGCUAAAGACCUCAUUUUCCAAUUCCCUUGCCCUGGGGUUUCCACUAGUAACCUUCCAGGUUGAUUAAUAAUAAUGGUAACUUACCCCAGGCAGAUACUCUGGUACAUGAUGCAGCGUGAGCAUUGUUAGGGCCACCACACUGCUCCUCUAGAAGCACAGGGUGGAGGUGCUUUGGACCUUCUCCAGCAGGGGUGACAAAGGCACUAACGUCUAGUCAGUCUCUAACCUCGUGGAUGCUGAGCAGCAUCAGCAUCAGCAUCAGCACAGCUUCCUGCGUGGGCAGCGUUCCGGCCUGCCGCAGAGGCAGUGUGGUUUCUGGGUCAGCCGUGGCAGCAGCAGGUGCAGCACUACCUGGCCAGGCCAGUUUUGCAGGGUGGCUCUGGGACUUGGGCGCAGAUCCCCCACCUGGAGCCUCCUUCUUCAGCCUUUGCCACCAUUCUGUAAUUCAGUGGUUCCCAAAGGGUGGUCUCUGGCCCAGCAGUAUCAGCAGCACCUGAGAACUUGAUAGAAAUGCAGAUUCUUGGGCCCUACAUAGACCCACUGAAUCAGAAGCUCUGGGGGGUGGGGCCCAGCACUCUGGGCUCUGAGGAGCCUUUCUGCUGAUGUUGAUGCGUGCCCAAGUUUAAGAACCUCUGCUAGAAGCCAACAGCCUAUAAUGAAUCCAUUUCUGCUAAAACUAACUAGAGUCGAGGCUGUUGUCUGCAACUUAACCCUGACGGAAUCACAGUCCCUGCCCUCAGGGUGUCCAUGCGGGGGACAAGCAACUACGACAAAACAGCACGAUGUUCUGGAGAAGAACAAAAUAGGGGCCCUUAACCCGUCAAGAAUGCUGACCUCCCAACUAUUUCUAUCGUAUGUCCUUCUCAAAAAUUUUGAAUGCGUACCCUCAAUAGUUACACUUAUUUCUAAAUAUUAUAUCUACUCUAUUAAUAUAUUAUAAAACACAUAUAAAUAGAACCUUAACCUAAGACACUUUUUAAGUGAACAUAAAUAGAAGUUCUGCUGUUUUCUUCCUGCACCCCCAUGGGUGGCACUUUAGUGAU
This 3482-nucleotide long non-coding RNA is filed under the name Equus caballus (horse). RNAcentral describes it as "lncRNA (ENSECAG00000057129.1)". Lineage: Eukaryota; Metazoa; Chordata; Mammalia; Perissodactyla; Equidae. The record is from RNAcentral.